GCGCGGUUAGCUCAGUGGUAGAGCACCUGCUUCACACGCAGGGGGUCACUGGUUCAAAUCCAGUACCGCGCACCA
Molecule: transfer RNA, 75 nt
Filed under: Verrucomicrobiia bacterium
Lineage: Bacteria; Pseudomonadati; Verrucomicrobiota; Verrucomicrobiia
Also listed under: 1 other name
Description: tRNA-Val
Rfam family: tRNA
About the family: Transfer RNA (tRNA) molecules are approximately 80 nucleotides in length. Their secondary structure includes four short double-helical elements and three loops (D, anti-codon, and T loops). Further hydrogen bonds mediate the characteristic L-shaped molecular structure. tRNAs have two regions of fundamental functional importance: the anti-codon, which is responsible for specific mRNA codon recognition, and the 3' end, to which the tRNAs corresponding amino acid is attached (by aminoacyl-tRNA synthetases). tRNAs cope with the degeneracy of the genetic code in two manners: having more than one tRNA (with a specific anti-codon) for a particular amino acid; and 'wobble' base-pairing, i.e. permitting non-standard base-pairing at the 3rd anti-codon position.
Source: RNAcentral